Molecule: ribosomal RNA, 507 nt
Filed under: uncultured bacterium
Lineage: Bacteria
Description: partial 16S ribosomal RNA
Rfam family: Bacterial small subunit ribosomal RNA
Source: RNAcentral
GACGAACGCUGGCGGCGUGCCUAAUACAUGCAAGUCGAACGCAUUUUCUUUCACCGUAGCUUGCUACACCGAAAGAAAAUGAGUGGCGAACGGGUGAGUAACACGUGGGUAACCUGCCCAUCAGCGGGGGAUAACACUUGGAAACAGGUGCUAAUACCGCAUAAUUCCAUUUACCGCAUGGUAGAUGGAUGAAAGGCGCUUUUGCGUCACUGAUGGAUGGACCCGCGGUGCAUUAGCUAGUUGGUGGGGUAACGGCCUACCAAGGCUGCGAUGCAUAGCCGACCGGAGAGGGUGAUCGGCCACACUGGGACUGAGACACGGCCCAGACUCCUACGGGAGGCAGCAGUAGGGAAUCUUCGGCAAUGGACGCAAGUCUGACCGAGCAACGCCGCGUGAGUGAAGAAGGUUUUCGGAUCGUAAAACUCUGUUGUUAGAGAAGAACAAGGAUGAGAGUGGAAAGUUCAUCCCUUGACGGUAUCUAACCAGAAAGCCACGGCUAACUACGUG